RNAcentral lists this long non-coding RNA (231 nucleotides) under Homo sapiens (human). Its description in RNAcentral is "HSALNT0108682". Lineage: Eukaryota; Metazoa; Chordata; Mammalia; Primates; Hominidae. The record is from RNAcentral.
CCCAGAAGCUUUUGGAAGGCAGUGACAGUGGCUGUGAUCUAUUGGGCCAUCGUUAUUUUUGUCAUGAAGACUAUAUUGCUUCAUAAUUAAUAUGAUAUUGAAACUAGAUAUCACAGGAUGAAAAGCACUUAAAAUAUUUGUAGAUUAACAUCUGGAAUCUUGGAGAGUGAGCAAAUGAUGAUAUUUACAUCUGAAGUUUAAACUACUUCUUUGAGAUCUACUCUGAAGAUU